ACCACACAGUGGAAGCCCCUUCACUUAAAAGAAGUAAGAGUCUGGUUAGAUAACUUGUUCCAAGGUAAAUAAUAAUAAUAUUUUAACAUUUGAGUCCAACACUCUGUGAAGCAUUAAAUAUAUUUUAACUCCUUUAAUUCUCACAUCAUCCCUAUGGUAGAUACUGUUAUUAUCUCCAUUUUCAGAUGAGGAAACUUGAAGCACAGAGAGAUGACAGGUAGUAAAUUUCAGGGCCAAGGUUAGAAUUUGGGCAGUAUGACAUCAAAAAUACAUGUUCCUAACCACUGCUCUGUACUACUUCUGUUAUAGCAAAUUUUUGAACCUAAUGUUUUAGACCUAAACAUAGUAAAAAUUCCUCUUUGAGACCUGUAUCCAUUAGUAAUAUGUAUCAAACACAUAACCACCAGUGUAGAUUUCUCAUUUAUUUCACAGCAUUACACAUUAAACCUUUAGCUGUACUUGAGGCACUGGGAAGUACAUUUUCUCUGAAUAUUUAAAUGCUCACAGAAUAAAAAUAACAAUAAAUAUAUGUACAUCCUUUUUUUCAUGAAAAUGUAUAAAGAUUACCCUCAAAACAAAAAGAUUCUCUAAAAAUACACAAAUUUAUUCCUUCAUGUACAUAAACAAUUAUGGAUAAGACUUAAAAAUACAAAUGUAAUGGCUCUUGAAUAUAGGAGUCUGCUCUGAGUACUACAACAGUACCUUAUAUCAGUAUUAUUCUGUCAGUAAAGCCUCCAGUAGUGGGUUUUGAUAUAAAUUUAUUGGGCCCAAUUUGGCAGUUUUUUUUAAUAGGAAUGGAAGCAUUCAGAUGUAUUAAAUAGUAAAGGUCAAUAUUGUUUUAAGAAACUUUAGUUUUAGAAGUGGAUAGAUAAAUGUAUGGAUGUUUCUGUGGAGAUUGGUCUAAAUAGUUGGAAAAGGACCAUUUAACAACUGCUUGAGUUCCGACUUCAGCUACUCCCUGUAUGCUCAGACUGCUGAAUAAUUCUUAGUCUUAUUCUCUUUUAUAAACCUUUAUUUUCAGUUCAAAUUGAGCAUGCCAAAACUCAGUAGAACUAAACUCAUAAUCUUACCUACCCCCUUCUCUCAACCUGUUUUUCUUCUGUUUUCAUUCUUGGGUGGAAAUCCUUAAAUGUCUUUUCCUCUCAUAUAAGGUAGAGACCCCACACUCCUUAGAAUGGUUGACUUGGCCUGACUUCUGCUUAGCAAGCCUUGCUCCUACUAUGUCCUUACAAACCCAUUCUGCCUUAUCUGAAUCCAUAUGUGGUUUGCAGAACAUGCCAUUCAUGCUCACUUCUUCCUGCUCAAAAUUCUCUUUCCCCUCUUUUCCACCAGGCUCAUCUUUUAAGACUUGUUGAUUUAUGACAGCUUUAUGAGAUUCUCGACUGACAUUUUAUCGUGUUAUUGUGUUCCACGCUAUUUAGUUCCUCCUGGAUCCUUCCGAAUUUCACAUGCACUGCUUCAAUCAGCUCCUGCAGAGCGGAUAACAUACCUAGGGACCCAGGUCUUACUGGACAAGCAGCCAAUCAUGAAAAGGGGCAGACUGGCCUUUUUUUAAAAAAAAUUUUUAUAUAUUUUUUGCAUUUCAAAGUAUAGAUAUUCAUUUUAGCUAUUGAAAAGUAAAAUCCAGUAAGUUUACUGUAGGGAAUAUUUAUCUUAAAAAGGAAGGAUUAUGUAGAAAUGAGCCUACCUGCUGGUUUUUCUUUCCUUUUUCAAUAAUGUUUACAUUGUAACUUAAACAUUUUUCUGUCCCUAAAAAUUAGGCAUGUCUUUGUUUUCUAAUGCAUAUUUCUGUAAUGUAAACCUGCUUGUAUAGAUAUGAAAAAAAAAGUUUGAAACUUUUCUGUGUAUGCACAAAAUAUACCUUAAUGGUAUCUUGGGCGAGGGGUAAUAACCUCACGUUUACAAGGGAAGUAGAAGUGAGGGAUUUGCUUAAGGAGCUUUAAACUACAUAGCUGUGAAUUGGGAAUUUAGUCUGUGUGUCACAAAGAUGCAACCAACUUUGCCAUCAGUUUAAAUGAAAAACAAGAUUUUGGUAGAAUCUUGUCUAAGUGACUUUAACACUAUUAGAGGAUUUUAGAAACUGUUACAAAUCAGACUGCUUUAGAAAAGCAACAUAAAUUUGGGGCUACUGUUUCAGAUGUGUACUCAUGUUAAAACUAGGUUUCAGUAUUGGCAGUUAGGUAACAAAGGAAAAUAUGGUUUAUUUGUAUUUUAAUGAAAUAUUGGUACUACAUAAAACUGAAGGUUAAUUUUUAGAUCAAUGAGCCAGAAUUUCAAUGUGGAUAUGGAAAAAAAGACUUUCAUUUUAUAAACAAGAAUAAAUAUAUAUGUUUUAAAUGCCAAAGUAUUCAGUUUUAAAUUUUUUUGUUUCCUUUUGAAGACAUGUAAGAACUAAAUUAGACUUUUAAUUUGUGGUUAAUAACAGUGAAUAAAUAAACAUGGGUCUAAAAAUUAAAGAAUGAAUUGGGAAUAAGACUUCUGAUACUUUAAAAUUCUGUAUGAGGAAGAUAGUAUGUUAUCAAGGAAUGUACUGUAUUUUCUUGAUCCAGAACAUUGCUUUUAAAAUUUUUUUUUAAUAUUUUCUACGAUUACAACAUUGUUUCCCAUAUCUCAGACUGAAUUUGAGUUGAUUUCUUUUUAACAUUAUUGAGUUAGUAAUCAGUGGCAUUUAAUUUUUGUAGAGUAAAACUUAAGGCUUUAGGUGCUUCCAGUAAAACUGUAAGCCCAUUGAAAUUGUUUUGUUUAGAUUUUAGUUUAAAUCCAUGUCUAUCCUGCUUUAUUGCUCUCCCUUUGACUAAUACGUAGCAACGUCUUUUUUCUAUGCACAGAAUUUAUACAAAAAGUAAUUUUUCUUAGUGUCUUCUGUCCUUUUUUUUUGGACAUUUAGAAACCAAAUACUGUAUGCCUUCUUAUCUUCACAUUAAGUAGUAAGAAGACUAUAACUUGAAUAGACUAAAAGUUGUCUUGGGGCAUUUUCUAUCAUAUGAUGCUAUAUUUUGCAAAAGUUCUGUAGUACUUUGUGCUUCUUUCUCCCUAAGAAGAAAAAAAAUUUAGUUAUGUGACAGAUAAAUUAAAAUUGUAUAAGUCCUACUUGGGUAUUUGUGGUAAUGAAAGAGUGAAACUGUUUGAUCACAGUUCAGAUAAGAAGUAACAAUAUUGCUUUUGGUGAGAGUAACUUGCAUUUAGAAUUCAACCAGACAAUUGAGUCUUAAGCUGUUUUUACAAAUAAAGAAUAUAGUGCCAUAUAGAAACCUGAAUUUUCAAAAAUCGGCUGAUUCUAGUUUAGCCAAAAAAUUUAGGUUUUGUUAGCUUUAAAAACUGUCUUUCUAGCAAAGGAUAGAGUGUUAAAUACUUAGUAAGAAUUCUAAAGCAUGAGUUAAGCUGGUAUAAAAUGACUAAAAAAAAGUAAAAAAAUAAAAUGACUUUAGUCUUUUCUUAAUUUAUAAUGAACACUGGGAUAAUUUUUAAAAGUUUAUUUCUGUGUUGCAUAACAUUUUACAGUAUUGAAUGUUACUUUUUAAAAGAAAUGUUUCAGCAGUAUUUAAAAAAAACUGUUUUAGCAAAGUCUUCUAUGGAUGAAUGGGCAGUCAGUAUCAGUUUUAAAAUUCUUUUGCAAGGUAACCAAUUUUCCUCUGCACAGUAAAACAGUUAAAAUAAUGUUUAUACACCGGGUUUUCUGAUGUUUGAGUUUUAAAAUUUGCCACAUAGUCUGCAAAUGAUUUCAUUGGAUUGGAAAUGCUUUGGGGGAUGUUUAUUCUCUUUAUAAAUGGAGAUUGAGCACCACCUGUUGGUCAAACUAAUGUAUUUUAAUUUGUGAAUUCAGCAAAAAAAUUUUUUAAUUUAAUGAUUGCAUUCUUUAACUGUUGAGGUCUUAUAUAUUAUAUAAUUCUGUCACAGUAUAUAGAUUUAUGUCUGAAAACUAUACUUCAUGAAAUUCACCAGAAUGCCUUGUUUAUUAUAGAUUAUAAAAUGAUCCACCUUUACCACCUUUACUAUUUGUUUUCUUCACUUUGCUCUUUGCUACUGAAUUAUAAGUUAUCCUUUUUUAAGGAAGUGAAUGGUCUUAACCCUGGGUUUAUUUAUGAAGUUAUUAAAGGAGAUGAUUAUUUUAUUUGCCUCAUGUGGAAAUUAUCAAAAUGAGGAAGUCAGUUCCUAUGUUGUUAACUGUGUGUUAACUGAAUGAUGCUAGGUUUAAUUUUUAAGAAAAUGAAAUCCUUUUCUAUUUGUUUUUCUUAUUUAAUAACAAUUUGAAGUAAAAACCAAUUAAUUCUUGUAUUAAAAGCAGCAAUUACUAUUUUUUUUUGCAGUUAUGUAUCUUUUAUAAUUUUAGACUAUUGAAUGUUUUGUUUCAUUUGAAAUGGAUACUUAUAACUCUAGUAGGCAUUAAUAAAACAAAUGAUUAAUUUUAAAAUGUUUAUUUUAAUAUAUAUUAACACAAAAUUAAUAAAAUAAACUAUUACUCAGAGCAAAGCAGAAAA
This is a long non-coding RNA of Orcinus orca (killer whale), 4478 nucleotides long. RefSeq lists it as uncharacterized. NCBI's taxonomy places the organism in Eukaryota, Metazoa, Chordata, Mammalia, Artiodactyla, Delphinidae. The transcript has 2 exons. The record is from RefSeq and is a predicted model, not a curated record.